GGUGAGACUGCGGUGCGUCAGGUAAUUUCCCCAGGGAGCGCGCGGAUUGGUGGAGGCAACUUUCACUCCUAUAUAGAGGCGGCAUAGGUGCCGUCGUUUCCUCCUUCCUUCCGGGCUGCCUGGGGUUGUUUUGGUGGCGUGGGCACGAGUUUGCCACUGGAGCCACGUUUUAUGCGGUUGACUGGACUGGUGAUGCGCGUUCCCAGUUGAUGGCCGUCUGACAACGGUGCGCCGAAUGGUCAUCUGAGCGCUGUGCAAGUGGUGCUGCUGUGUUCUGGUUACUUACUAGGUGGCUUCCCACCCAUCUAUUGGUGAAGUGGACUCGUGCCUGUUGCCGAGGUUGCUGCUUUGUCCAUCCGUGACUGAUGCCACGGGUUGUUCCGUGUGCUGGCCCAGAGACGCUCCUGCUCCGCCCGCUCGAGCAGGUGCGCUGAAGACGCAAGCGCGCAGUGCAGACUGCUGCGCGUGAACAGUGCUGCGACAGCAUAGGCUAAAGUGUCUAUUCAUUCAUGGAAUUGAACUGGUUAUCCUGCCCUCUCCGAGUUCACAUAGGUGCCUUAUUGUAUGUCUUGCAUUUCCAAUGAUGUGCUCAUUUUCUUUGUGUUUGCUGUGAUUGUAUGAACAUUGCAUGUUGUGCCUCCUUGUCGUAGUGUACUAAAACGAUUUGCUUGCAGUGUCAGACUUGCAUGAUUUAUUUAUCUUGGUUAUUAUUUGUUUUCUUUGGUUUAAUUGGAAUUUGCAUUGCUGCAUAUGUCGCAUAUGGGAUUACAUGGGGACAGGGCCACCUAUUGUA
Engraulis encrasicolus (European anchovy) is the source of this 793-nucleotide long non-coding RNA. RefSeq lists it as uncharacterized. Lineage: Eukaryota; Metazoa; Chordata; Actinopteri; Clupeiformes; Engraulidae. The transcript is spliced from 3 exons. The record is from RefSeq and is a predicted model, not a curated record.